Molecule: ribosomal RNA, 170 nt
Filed under: Enterobacter cloacae
Lineage: Bacteria; Pseudomonadati; Pseudomonadota; Gammaproteobacteria; Enterobacterales; Enterobacteriaceae
Description: partial 23S ribosomal RNA
Rfam family: Bacterial large subunit ribosomal RNA (bases 1-152)
Source: RNAcentral
AUCUAAGCACGAAACUUGCCCCGAGAUGAGUUCUCCCUGAGACUUUAAGUCUCCUGAAGGAACGUUGAAGACGAUGACGUUGAUAGGUCGGGUGUGUAAGCGCAGCGAUGCGUUGAGCUAACCGAUACUAAUGAACCGUGAGGCUUAACCUUACAACGCCGAAGGUGUUU